This 518-nucleotide long non-coding RNA is filed under the name Anser cygnoides (Swan goose). RNAcentral describes it as "lncRNA (ENSACDG00005008478.1)". Lineage: Eukaryota; Metazoa; Chordata; Aves; Anseriformes; Anatidae. The record is from RNAcentral.
UUUUCUAUUUUCUGCCCUCUUCAUUUUUUCUAUUUUCUAUUUUUCUUUUUUCUAUUCUUCUUUUUUCUAUUUUCUAUUUUUUCUAUUUUCUGCCCUCUUCAUUUUUUUCUAUUUUCUUUUUUCUAUUCUUCUAUUUUUCUUUUUUCUAUUUUCUUCUUUUUUUUUCUGUUUUCUAUUUUCUUUUUUCUAUUUUCUGCCCUCUUCUUUUUUCUAUUUUCUUUUUUCUAUUUUCUGCCCUCUUCAUUUUUUCUAUUCUUUUCCCUCUUCUUUUUUUUUUUUUCCUAUUUUUUCUGUUUUCUCCUCCUUUUUGCCUAUUAUUUGCUCUUUUUCUUUGCUCUACUUUCUCCUCUUUUUUUUUCCUCCUGCCCAGGCGCGUCGCUGCCGCUCUUCUACACCUGGCUGGGGGUUUGGGAAGCCUCCCGCACCCGCGCGCCUCUCCUCAGCCUCUACAACCUCCUCCUCCUCCUCCCCUCGCCAUUUUUGGGCUCAAAUCUCGGCUUUUCCGGCUGCGUGAAGCA